AACGAACGCUGGCGGCAUGCCUAACACAUGCAAGUCGAACGAGACCUUCGGGUCUAGUGGCGCACGGGUGCGUAACGCGUGGGAACCUGCCAUUAGGUUCGGAAUAACUCCCCGAAAGGGGUGCUAAUACCGGAUAAUGUCUUCGGACCAAAGAUUUAUCGCCCUUGGAUGGGCCCGCGUUGGUUUAGCUAGUUGGUAGGGUAAAAGCCUACCAAGGCGACGAUACAUAGCUGGGCUGAGAGGAUGAUCAGCCACACUGGGACUGAGACACGGCCCAGACUCCUACGGGAGGAAGCAGUGGGGAAUAUCGGACAACGGGCGAGAGCGUGAUCCAGCAAUGCCGCGUGAGUGAUGAAGGUCUUAGGGGGGUAAAGCUCUUUUACCCGGGAUGAUAAUGACAGUACCGGGAGAAUAAGCUCCGGCGAACUCCGUG
RNAcentral lists this ribosomal RNA (433 nucleotides) under uncultured bacterium. RNAcentral's name for it is "partial 16S ribosomal RNA". It matches the Rfam family "Bacterial small subunit ribosomal RNA", at positions 29 to 507 of the family's 1533-position model. The record is from RNAcentral.